This 107-nucleotide ribosomal RNA is filed under the name Planctomycetaceae bacterium AH-315-I19. The record is from RNAcentral. Lineage: Bacteria; Pseudomonadati; Planctomycetota; Planctomycetia; Planctomycetales; Planctomycetaceae.
UUCGGUGAUCAUAGGUGCGGGGCAACACCUGUUCCCAUCCCGAACACAGCAGUUAAGCCCGUACCGCCGAUGAUACUGCCCUGCGGGAAAGUAGGUCAUCGCCGAUU